CCUACGGGUGGCAGCAGUGAGGAAUAUUGGUCAAUGGGCGCGAGCCUGAACCAGCCAAGCCGCGUGAGGGAUGAAGGUUCUAUGGAUCGUAAAUCUCUUUUAUAAGGGAAUACAGUGUGGGACGUGUCCUAUUUUGUAUGUACCUUAUGAAUAAGCAUCGGCUAACUCCGUGCCAGCAGCCGCGGUAAUACGGAGGGUGCGAGCGUUAAUCGGAAUUACUGGGCGUAAAGGGCUCGUAGGCGGUAUGUCAAGUCAAGGGUGAAAUCCCCGCGCUCAACGUGGGAACUGCCUUUGAAACUGGCAAACUGGAGUGUGAGAGAGGAUAGUGGAAUUCGAGGUGUAGGAGUGAAAUCCGUAGAUAUCUGGAGGAACAUCAGUGGCGAAGGCGACUAUCUGGCACAUAACUGACGCUGAGGAGCGAAAGCGUGGGUAGCAAACAGGAUUAGAUACCCGGGUAGUC
This 460-nucleotide ribosomal RNA is filed under the name uncultured bacterium. RNAcentral describes it as "partial 16S ribosomal RNA". It matches the Rfam family "Bacterial small subunit ribosomal RNA", at positions 338 to 795 of the family's 1533-position model. The record is from RNAcentral.